Molecule: small RNA, 3201 nt
Filed under: Drosophila ananassae
Lineage: Eukaryota; Metazoa; Arthropoda; Insecta; Diptera; Drosophilidae
Description: GF27989
Source: RNAcentral
CUUAACGUGCUUCGGCUGCGGAGCCGGCUGCGGAGCCGGCUGCGGAUUGAUGUGGCGCAUGUUGGCACUUGCAAAUGCCGAUGCAGAUGCAGCUGGUUUGUAUCUAUCGGAUGCAUGGACAUGCACACAGACACAUGUUUCUGUUAGAUACGUAUUACGUACAUGUAGCCCGCGGCGGGACUGAACAACUUGAUGAGAUAAUCACACGCCAAAAUGUCUUGUCUUACACUUUGAGUCAUUGUCCGUAGAAGUAGUGGAGUGGGUACUCGAACUCGAACCUUAAGUUCAGCAGGUGCUAUCUUCGCAAAGUUUAGCCAAAGAUAAAGAUACCAUUAGUAUUUAAAGCACAUUUCCGUCUAUUUUACACUUAGCAGAGAUCUGCCAGCGGAAAGCAAACCUCAGAAUAUCCGAAAGAUGCGAUGAAGCUACAGAAAUGCUAAACAAAUUACGCAAUUAACAGAGGCGGCGGGAACGGGGGCUGGUUCGGUACGGCCCAGGUUAAUGCCCAAAGAUCACACAUUCUGGGCAAAAUGCUCGGAAAGCCAGAGUAAACUUUUUAUAGUUUCGUCACAAGCUGGCGGAGCUGAUAAACCGGACAUAUGGCGCAUUAACUCACUGUUUCCACGCGUUUCGCACGCUCUCUUCUUGGCCGUCGGAUCUGUUUGUACAUUAAUCUAUCUUUAUACGAUUGCCCACAGACCGACCCCACAACAGGCAUUUAGGUGGCUUCCAUUACUGUUCCAUCUUGGGUUACGUUCUGCCGUUAUGCGAUAGGUUUUGGCCUGGUUAGGCCUCAAGCACACUAGAGAGGCACUCGAGGCCCCUCGAGAAGCGAUUUGGGUCAGAGGCGACUGCGCAAUAUCAGGGAGGAGGAGUACUCCGCCUCUGCCCUCCCAAGAUUACAUCUAAUGGCGAUAAUAUUCGCAUGAAAUCAUCUAGUGCUGACGUUGACUUCCGCUCGCCUCACACAAAGUUGAAAUAUGGGCGUGAUCCGCGCUAGAGUCAAGUUCAAAGCGCUGCGUGGGCGACUCUUUCCGUGGAAUGUGUGGAGCCACUUGGUGUGGGCUCCGGAAAGUGCUCGAGACAUGACAAGUGCAACUGGACGCAGUUGAUUGCGGAGUGUGUGGGUGUCGGAUGCUGCUGGUGAAAGGUAAUGUUUGUCAAACAAAUGCAUGAGAUCAGGGAAAGCUUUUGGAAAUGACAGAUGCAUCCGAGAAAUCUUCGAUCAAAGAUGUGAAAAAUGCUUUCUAUUCGUCAUGUCAUAAUCGACAAUUAAACUGAAAUAAAAUAUAAUAUUUCAACCACAAUUUUAUCGUAUGAAUUAAUCAAUUGCUGACCCAUUUGCCUGAGCAAGCGGAUAGAAUUAUAUACGUCCAUUACACACAAAUAGCGUUCAUAUAAAUCAUGUCAACUGAUAUCGGCAGCUGCCUAUUGGAGAAUUGAAAUUGGGUUCAAUUCACUCGUCGAUUGUAAUUUUCGUGUUCAGCCAACGCGUGCUUGGGCUUUGUAUCCGUUGGAUACGUUAUUGUUUCCCAAGCUAAAGCCAAUUAUUUUUGGGCUUUAUCUGACCCCAUGCCGCCUGCUACUCAGCAAUUAGUUUGCGCUUCAACGCGUAAUUAACUUUGACAUUUUUCUGCGCUACUUUUUCCGCGCCAACCACACAAAAGAUAGCGGAUUGGCACAAAAAGCUAUAGCCUGUUGACUCUGUAUAUGUAUCUGCGAUUGGACGGCGAUGUGACUGGAAAUUGCUCAAUUUUGACUGGUUUUGGGGCCCCCCUUUGGACAAACCGGUCAAAAUCGUUCUACCAAAUUUGACAGGUCCAAAGCACGCGGCAUUUUUGGUUUUUAUUUAUUUCUCCGAUUUCCCCGAUUUCUGCUAUUCCGGCUCCCCCACUUGAGUCGCCAGAUACGCUUUUUUUUUGUCAAAUUGCUGCUGCUGGGGCUUUCAAUCACAACACGACUUGCCUUAUAAAUCAAUUAAAACCGUUGCAGCUGCAAACUCAAUUGCAGCCUUUGAAGUUGCAUUUGCCGCCAGAGAACUGCGUCAUGAUUUUGCCAUUACUUGGAGCAGCGGCACGCACGGCGGACAGCGUUGCAAAGAUACAAAUGUGCGUAUCCGUGAGAUACACACUGUCAAGUGUCGCGGCGCUCUGUCAGCGUUCUUCAGGGUCAGGGAGGCGGCGGCGGUGACAUUGAACGCGUUCAAAAACUCAAUCGCCGAGGAUAUUUCGGAUUUUGGGCUUUCGUUUUCCCCGCCAAGCGAAAGUCAAAUCAUAAAGCGAUUGCCAUCAAAAUGAUUCAUAAGCGAGGCGCUCUCGUCGAAUAGAAAACAAAAUACACGAAAUGCUUAUAAAUAGUUCGCAAGGUCGCGAGAAUUCAACCGGGAGAUCUAGAAACUAGCGGCUAGAGGUUUAGAAAUAAUAACAACAAAGCUGCCUCGGCUACCUUAGAAGGCAUAUAGUGGAUAUAUUGAAGUGCCCCCAGAUUCUGUGCACAGUGGUCAGUCAAUGGGCCUUCUUCAAUCACCCAGUCAGCACCUGUUGGCCAACUUUUCGGCGCCACUGUGGCCAUCGGCCGUCCCAUCUGGCGUAGGUGUGCGAACGCCUUCGUUUAUUCUGCCAUAAUGUAUUUUCGUGUGUAGUAUCAUUCUGCUUUUUUUGUUUGCCAUAUAUUUGUGGACGUUUUAUCUGCUGCCUUGUAAAUUGAAUAGAUGGAUGUGCGUCACUGAACUUUGCGCUGAAGCGCGCCAUCCAUCGAACUUGAAAAUCUUGGCAAUUUCCUAUAUUUUCUAUAAUUAUGGCCCAGGGGAGUGUCUACUUGAAAUUCUGUGCUUGGCUCCUCGAUUUGAGCUUGAAUGUGAUUUUUAUGGAUCGCAGCAGAGGCGAAUAACUAAAAAGUGGCUCACAUUGCGUAUACGCCUCCGCACUCCAGCUCCUGGACUGGCUGCCGUCUGGCCUACUUGGCCCAUCUUGACCCCUGGUGCCCUAACCUGUUUGUGUCGGAGAUCUCCUAAAAAGCCAAUCUGGGACUUCUCAAUGCCGUUCGCAAUGCUGACAUCAUAUCGAGCUAUAUGCAACUAUAUAGAAGCAACUGCUGGCUGCCGUUUCUCCCAAUAUGUCUACGCUCAAUUGGGUCAGGCGAUCGACGAUCUGUGAUCACUGAUCAGAAAUGAAAACAAACAGUAGCAUUAUUUUCUUAUUA